GCUCCUGCUGCUGCUAAGUUGCUUCAGUCGUGUCCGACUCCGUGCGACUCCAUAGACGGCAGCCCACCAGGCUCCUCCGCCCAUGGGAUUUUCCAGAGGCUGUGACUGAGCUGCAUCUGUGAAGAGCAAAGAGGUCACCUCUUUCUCAUCACCUUUCCCCGAGAGCUCCACGUACCUGCGCCUGAGGACGCCAGCUCAUUCCAUAAAUACCUCAACCCCUUCCUUACGGGAGGUGCAUCUGAGACUUUCUCCUUUCAUUUCUACCUUAGGCUGCCUUGCACAUAAACCUCGUCUCAGCUGCAGAGCUUGGGGUCUCAGCAUUUGGCUCGCUGGGUGUUGGGGAAAAGAAAUCUAGUUUGGUAACAACUUUACAACUGAAGGUGCCACCUGGUGCAGAAGGAAAAGCGUUGAGCUGUACUUCAGAAGAACGAAGAAUGAUACUAGGCCAGCAUGAUACCAACUUCUCCAUGCUGGUUUUCUCACCAGUAAAGCUAAAAGGAAAGCACAGCUUCUCGGUGCCAUCAGCUCCUUUGAUGACUGGGUUGUGGGUUUAGCAGCUUCCCUGGCGCCCACUUUGAGCCUCACUGAUGCCCCAGGUAUCACGAGUCCACUGGAGCCCUGUGCUCAUGGGCGUGGGUACCACAACCCAAGGAUGAGGCUGCUAGAAAUCACCGCAGACACACACGCAUGCGCAUACACAUGGUGCGCGUCCCGGCUCCGCUCAACGCAAGUCCACACCCGGACUUCACUUAUAAAGCACAUAUUCAAGGGUACAAUGAUUAAGACCUGUAAGAGGGUGCUAGCAGAGUGUUACACCCAGCACAGGACCCUCCAG
Long non-coding RNA from Bos taurus (domestic cattle), 835 nucleotides. Lineage: Eukaryota; Metazoa; Chordata; Mammalia; Artiodactyla; Bovidae. The record is from Ensembl.